Molecule: ribosomal RNA, 253 nt
Filed under: uncultured bacterium
Lineage: Bacteria
Description: partial 16S ribosomal RNA
Rfam family: Bacterial small subunit ribosomal RNA
Source: RNAcentral
UACGGAGGGUGCAAACGUUGCUCGGAAUCAUUGGGCGUAAAGCGCACGUAGGCGGCUUGUUAAGUCGGAUGUGAAAGCCCUGGGCUCAACCUAGGAAGUGCAUUCGAAACUUCUGAGCUUGAGUAUCGGAGAGGAAGGCGGAAUUCUCGGUGUAGAGGUGAAAUUCGUAGAUAUCGAGAGGAACACCGGUGGCGAAGGCGGCCUUCUGGACGAUUACUGACGCUGAGACGCGAAAGCGUGGGGAGCAAACAGG